Molecule: ribosomal RNA, 705 nt
Filed under: Klebsiella quasipneumoniae subsp. quasipneumoniae
Lineage: Bacteria; Pseudomonadati; Pseudomonadota; Gammaproteobacteria; Enterobacterales; Enterobacteriaceae
Description: partial 23S ribosomal RNA
Rfam family: Bacterial large subunit ribosomal RNA
Source: RNAcentral
AUCGGGGUUGCGGACAGUGUCUGGUGGGUAGUUUGACUGGGGCGGUCUCCUCCCAAAGCGUAACGGAGGAGCACGAAGGUUAGCUAAUCCUGGUCGGACAUCAGGAGGUUAGUGCAAUGGCAUAAGCUAGCUUGACUGCGAGCGUGACGGCGCGAGCAGGUGCGAAAGCAGGUCAUAGUGAUCCGGUGGUUCUGAAUGGAAGGGCCAUCGCUCAACGGAUAAAAGGUACUCCGGGGAUAACAGGCUGAUACCGCCCAAGAGUUCAUAUCGACGGCGGUGUUUGGCACCUCGAUGUCGGCUCAUCACAUCCUGGGGCUGAAGUAGGUCCCAAGGGUAUGGCUGUUCGCCAUUUAAAGUGGUACGCGAGCUGGGUUUAGAACGUCGUGAGACAGUUCGGUCCCUAUCUGCCGUGGGCGCUGGAGAAUUGAGGGGGGCUGCUCCUAGUACGAGAGGACCGGAGUGGACGCAUCACUGGUGUUCGGGUUGUCAUGCCAAUGGCACUGCCCGGUAGCUAAAUGCGGAAGAGAUAAGUGCUGAAAGCAUCUAAGCACGAAACUUGCCCCGAGAUGAGUUCUCCCUGAGACUAUAAGUCUCCUGAAGGAACGUUGAAGACGACGACGUUGAUAGCCCGGGUGUGUAAGCGCAGCGAUGCGUUGAGCUAACCGGUACUAAUGAACCGUGAGGCUUAACCUUACAACGCCGAAG